This 373-nucleotide ribosomal RNA is filed under the name uncultured bacterium. RNAcentral's name for it is "bacterial SSU rRNA". It matches the Rfam family "Bacterial small subunit ribosomal RNA", at positions 29 to 429 of the family's 1533-position model. The record is from RNAcentral.
AACGAACGCUGGCGGCAGGCCUCAAACAUGCAAGUCUAGGGGGUGUAGCAAUACAUCACCGGCGGACGGGUGCGUAACGCGUGGGAAUAUACCUAUUGGUUCGGAACAACUGAGGGAAACUUCAGCUAAUACCGGAUACGUCCUUACGGAGAAAGAUUUAUCGCCAAUAGAUUAGCCCGCGUUCGAUUAGCUAGUUGGUGGGGUAACGGCCCACCAAGGCGACGAUCGAUAGCUGUUCUGAGAGGAAGAUCAGCCACACUGGGACUGAGACACGGCCCAGACUCCUACGGGAGGCAGCAGUUGGGAAUCUUGGACAAUGGGGGAAACCCUGAUCCAGCUACGCCGCGUGGGUGAUGAAGGCCUCGGUUGUAAG